This 90-nucleotide transfer RNA is filed under the name Campylobacteraceae bacterium. RNAcentral describes it as "tRNA-Ser". It matches the Rfam family "tRNA". From Rfam's summary of the family: Transfer RNA (tRNA) molecules are approximately 80 nucleotides in length. Their secondary structure includes four short double-helical elements and three loops (D, anti-codon, and T loops). The record is from RNAcentral. Lineage: Bacteria; Pseudomonadati; Campylobacterota; Epsilonproteobacteria; Campylobacterales; Campylobacteraceae. RNAcentral also lists the same sequence under 1 other name.
GGACGAGUGGGAGAGUGGCUGAAUCCGCGCCCCUGCUAAGGGCGUGUAUCCUUACGGGUACCGAGGGUUCAAAUCCCUCCUCGUCCGCCA